GGAUUUCAGUUCCUUGAUCUUCCACGGAUCUCCUCCAGCCUGGGAAAACCUAAAAAGAUUUACAGCCCACUUUAUAACAUAUUUUCUAUAAAGCUCAGAUUCUGGUUUGGAAAAGUUUUAUCUCUGCUUUCAAUUGCAUUAACCUCAUCUUUCUUUGAGAAUAGGAUUUCUGAGAUACUUCUUUCCAUCUGCAGUAUAGGAACAGGAAUGCUACUUGCCUUCGAUCUAGCCUUGCAUUUUGAAGUUUUACUUUUAUGUUUGUCUGUCACUUUGUAUUUGUAUAGGCCCUUGUACAAUCAGGCAUUCAUCCCUGCUAAACUCUCAUUCUUCAGGGCUACCAGAUGAAUAUCCAGCUGCUUCCAUCCCUUUGAAGGAAAGGAACACAAACCUGCAGCCUUAGCUCCCACCCGUGCUACAGAAGGGGUUCAGCAUUCAGUCUGGUAAACAUUGACUACUUAUUUAACUUCCUGUAACAAGGAGUACAAAAACACUAUUUUGCAUGUAGACCCCAUUCAGUGGUUUCUGGAAGACCCUUUUGAAAUUCUCCUGGAUGCUGCUUGAGAAAUCUGGGCUUCUCACACAGGAGCUGAACUAUGCUCUAGAUUAAGUCUGGGAGCUGACAACUUGUGAAAUGUUAGUCAUCUUGUGAACUCCAUGCAUGUGUAUGUGCCAGGACUGUAUUACGUGCUGACAUCCUAAUGGCAGCAGGGAUAUGGCGAAGAA
This 723-nucleotide long non-coding RNA is filed under the name Coturnix japonica (Japanese quail). RNAcentral's name for it is "lncRNA (ENSCJPG00005018051.1)". The record is from RNAcentral. Lineage: Eukaryota; Metazoa; Chordata; Aves; Galliformes; Phasianidae.